AAAAUUAUAGUCUAUAAUAAGAUAUUUAACUUGCAAUUAAAAGAAGCACCAGUUAAUUUUA
RNAcentral lists this transfer RNA (61 nucleotides) under Proasellus cavaticus. RNAcentral's name for it is "transfert RNA-A(GCA)". The record is from RNAcentral. Lineage: Eukaryota; Metazoa; Arthropoda; Malacostraca; Isopoda; Asellidae.